AGCAGCCGCGGUAAUUCCAGCUCCAAUAGCGUAUAUUAAAGUUGUUGCAGUUAAAAAGCUCGUAGUUGAAUUUCGGGGUUAGCAGGUCGGUCGUGCCAUCGGUAUGAACUGGUCUCGCUGAUCCCUCCCUCUUGACGAACUGUGAUGCCAUUAAUUUGGUGUCGCAGGGAAUCAGGACUGUUACUUUGAAAAAAUUAGAGUGUUUAAAGCAGGCUCACGCUUGAAUACAUUAGCAUGGAAUAAUGAAAUAGGACGUUUGAUCCUAUUUUGUUGGUUUCUAGGAUUGACGUAAUGAUUAAUAGGGAUAGUUGGGGGCAUUAGUAUUCAAUUGUCAGAGGUGAAAUUCUUGGAUUUAUUGAAGACUAACUACUGCGAAAGCAUUUGCCAAGGAUGUUUUCAUUAAUCAAGAACGAAAGUUAGGGGAUCGAAGACGAUCAGAUACCGUCGUAGUCUUAACCAUAAACUAUGCCGACUAGGGAUCGGAUGAUGUUAAUUUUUUAAUGACUCAUUCGGCGCCUUACG
This 522-nucleotide ribosomal RNA is filed under the name uncultured Glomeromycotina. Its description in RNAcentral is "SSU rRNA". It matches the Rfam family "Eukaryotic small subunit ribosomal RNA", at positions 569 to 1092 of the family's 1831-position model. Lineage: Eukaryota; Fungi; Glomeromycota. RNAcentral also lists the same sequence under 1 other name. The record is from RNAcentral.